CGCGAGCGAGCUUUGCACAGCUUUAAGGAACCAUUUUCAUGUAGCCUAAUUUCUUUUUAAACAGUCUGACUUCUCAGAAGAUCAAAUCCUCGAUUGAAUUUAACCUGGAUCAGAUUCAUGAGUUUAAGGAGGCAUUCCUGCUGUUCGACAGGACAGGAGAUGGGAAGAUCAGCUACAACCAGUGUGGGGAUGUCAUGCGGGCCCUGGGGCAAAAUCC
Non-coding RNA from Neolamprologus brichardi, 217 nucleotides. NCBI's taxonomy places the organism in Eukaryota, Metazoa, Chordata, Actinopteri, Cichliformes, Cichlidae. The record is from RefSeq and is a predicted model, not a curated record.